UCAGUUCGGACUGUAGGCUGCAACUCGCCUACACGAAGCUGGGAUCGCUAGUAAUCGCGGAUCAGCACGCCGCGGUGAAUACGUUCCCGGGCCUUGUACACACCGCCCGUCACACCAUGAGAGUCUGUAACACCCAAAGCCGGUGGGAUAACCUUUAUAGGAGUCAGCCGUCUAAGGUAGGACAGAUGAUUAGGGUGAAGUCGUAACAAGGUAAC
Molecule: ribosomal RNA, 215 nt
Filed under: uncultured bacterium
Lineage: Bacteria
Description: partial 16S ribosomal RNA
Rfam family: Bacterial small subunit ribosomal RNA
Source: RNAcentral